CCCAUUCUCUCCCUCCUUUCCCUCUCUCCACUUUCCUUAUUCCUUUCCUACCUUUUUUGACCCAGGUAUUCAGGAUUUCAUGUACUUAGACUGGCCUUGAACUUGCAGAAUAGCUGAGAAGACCUUGAACUCCUGAAUCUCUGCCUUUUACUGGGAUUACAGGUGUCAUCACACCCUUUUCAUGCUACUGGAGGUCAACCCCAGUGCUUCAUGCAUUGCAUAUUAAAUCUGGGUGUGUGUGGCGCCUAAAUGAAGCACUCUGCAUUCCGCCCCCUCCUGGAGGCACACAGUACUGCAGCCAGAAAUAUUAGGCACAGAAGGAAGGAAAGGCAGUUGUCUGAGCAUGAAGUCACGGGAAAGGGUGCUGGAGAGAAACCGUGGGCUGCUCUGCGUAGCUGUAGGAAAUGAACAAUGCGGUGCCGAAUGAGAGCUGGCGCUACUGUGGUCCAAGUGCAGGCAUCGCUCACACGUCAGUCGGCAGAGCGCAGAUACCACAGUGCACAGUCGAUCACUGUGGAGUGAAUGCCCAGGAGGUGCUCGAUGCCAGUGACCAGGAGCUGCAGGCGCAGUGUGGUCCUCAUUCAGGACGUGGACAGACAUUCGAAGCAGUCAAGCACAUACCUUUUCCUACCAGAAAUCACUUUCUCUGCAAGUAAACAACUGUCUGCCUACCGAGAAUUAUAAUUUUAAAAAAUGGAGUUGGGUCUAAUUAUAAUUUGUGAAUAAAAAAAUUACAAAAA
Molecule: long non-coding RNA, 740 nt
Filed under: Rattus norvegicus (Norway rat)
Lineage: Eukaryota; Metazoa; Chordata; Mammalia; Rodentia; Muridae
Description: long non-coding RNA NONRATT022592
Source: RNAcentral